Molecule: ribosomal RNA, 651 nt
Filed under: uncultured Enterobacteriaceae bacterium
Lineage: Bacteria; Pseudomonadati; Pseudomonadota; Gammaproteobacteria; Enterobacterales; Enterobacteriaceae
Description: SSU rRNA
Rfam family: Bacterial small subunit ribosomal RNA
Source: RNAcentral
CUUGCUCUCGGGUGACGAGCGGCGGACGGGUGAGUAAUGUCUGGGAAACUGCCUGAUGGAGGGGGAUAACUACUGGAAACGGUAGCUAAUACCGCAUAAUGUCGCAAGACCAAAGUGGGGGACCUUCGGGCCUCAUGCCAUCAGAUGUGCCCAGAUGGGAUUAGCUAGUAGGUGGGGUAACGGCUCACCUAGGCGACGAUCCCUAGCUGGUCUGAGAGGAUGACCAGCCACACUGGGACUGAGACACGGUCCAGACUCCUACGGGAGGCAGCAGUGGGGAAUAUUGCACAAUGGGUGCAAGCCUGAUGCAGCCAUGCCGCGUGUGUGAAGAAGGCCUUCGGGUUGUAAAGCACUUUCAGCGGGGAGGAAGGCGAUAAGGUUAAUAACCUUGUCGAUUGACGUUACCCGCAGAAGAAGCACCGGCUAACUCCGUGCCAGCAGCCGCGGUAAUACGGAGGGUGCAAGCGUUAAUCGGAAUUACUGGGCGUAAAGCGCACGCAGGCGGUCUGUCAAGUCGGAUGUGAAAUCCCCGGGCUCAACCUGGGAACUGCAUUCGAAACUGGCAGGCUAGAGUCUUGUAGAGGGGGGUAGAAUUCCAGGUGUAGCGGUGAAAUGCGUAGAGAUCUGGAGGAAUACCGGUGGCGAAGGCGG